UGAGCAAUCUACCGAAAUGUGGGGGAUAGCCGGCCUAACGGCCGAGUAAUACCGCAUACGCUCUCGAUGAGGCAUUUUCAUUGAGAGGAAACCUACGGGACAUUUCGAGGGGCUCGCGGCCUAUCAGCUUGUUGGCGAGGUAACGGCUCACCAAGGCAAUGACGGGUAGCUGGUCUGAGAGGAUGGCCAGCCACAUUGGGACUGAGAUACGGCCCAGACCUCGUACCGGGGAG
Molecule: ribosomal RNA, 233 nt
Filed under: uncultured bacterium
Lineage: Bacteria
Description: partial 16S ribosomal RNA
Rfam family: Bacterial small subunit ribosomal RNA
Source: RNAcentral